This 72-nucleotide transfer RNA is filed under the name Ovis aries (sheep). It matches the Rfam family "tRNA". Rfam says of the family: Transfer RNA (tRNA) molecules are approximately 80 nucleotides in length. Their secondary structure includes four short double-helical elements and three loops (D, anti-codon, and T loops). Lineage: Eukaryota; Metazoa; Chordata; Mammalia; Artiodactyla; Bovidae. The record is from Rfam by way of RNAcentral.
UCCUUGGUGGCUCAGAUGGUAAAGCAUCUGCCUGCAAUGCGGGGGACCCGGGUUCAAUCCCUGGGUCGGGAA